ACGAACGCUGGCGGCGUGCUUAACACAUGCAAGUCGAACGGAGAUAGUUUGAAAGCUUGCUGAUAACUAUCUUAGUGGCGCACGGGUGAGUAACACGUGGGCAACCUGCCCGGAAGACUGGGAUAACACCUCGAAAGGGGUGCUAAUACCGGAUACCUUCACGAAGUCGCAUGACUUUGUGCAGAAAGAAAUUCGCUUCCGGAUGGGCCCGCGUCCCAUUAGCUAGUUGGCGAGGUAACGGCUCACCAAGGCGACG
RNAcentral lists this ribosomal RNA (256 nucleotides) under uncultured bacterium. RNAcentral describes it as "partial 16S ribosomal RNA". It matches the Rfam family "Bacterial small subunit ribosomal RNA", at positions 29 to 278 of the family's 1533-position model. The record is from RNAcentral.